AUACGUAGGGGGCGAGCGUUGUCCGGAAUUACUGGGCGUAAAGAGCUCGUAGGUGGUUUGUCGCGUCGUCUGUGAAAUUCCGGGGCUUAACUCCGGGCGUGCAGGCGAUACGGGCAUAACUUGAGUACUGUAGGGGAGACUGGAAUUCCUGGUGUAGCGGUGAAAUGCGCAGAUAUCAGGAGGGACACCGGUGGCGAAGGCGGGUCUCGGGGCAGUAACUGACGCUGAGGAGCGAAAGCAUGGGUAGCGAACAGGAUUAGAUACCCUGGUAGUCCAUGCCGUAAACGGUGGGCGCUAGGUGUAGGGGUCUUCCACGACUUCUGUGCCGUAGCUAACGCAUUAAGCGCCCCGCCUGGGGAGUACGGCCGCAAGGCUAAAACUCAAAGGAAUUGACGGGG
This 398-nucleotide ribosomal RNA is filed under the name uncultured bacterium. RNAcentral describes it as "partial 16S ribosomal RNA". It matches the Rfam family "Bacterial small subunit ribosomal RNA", at positions 523 to 918 of the family's 1533-position model. The record is from RNAcentral.